RNAcentral lists this ribosomal RNA (253 nucleotides) under uncultured bacterium. Its description in RNAcentral is "partial 16S ribosomal RNA". It matches the Rfam family "Bacterial small subunit ribosomal RNA", at positions 524 to 776 of the family's 1533-position model. The record is from RNAcentral.
UACGAAGGGUGCAAGCGUUACUCGGAAUUACUGGGCGUAAAGCGUGCGUAGGUGGUUUGUUAAGUCUGUUGUGAAAGCCCCGGGCUCAACCUGGGGGCUGCGUUUGAUACGUGCGGACUUGAGUGCGGAAGAGGGUCGUGGAAUUCCCAGUGUAGAGGUGAAAUUCGUAGAUAUUGGGAAGAACACCGGUGGCGAAGGCGGCGACCUGGUCCGAUACUGACGCUGAGGCGCGAAAGCGUGGGGAGCAAACAGG